CUGUCCGCAGAGCAGACCUGGACCCUGAGAACCGGGGACCGAGGGCAGGUCGCGUAAGGGGGCGGGCGGGCUCCUUGGCGGGGCUGGCAGCCGUCAGCCACCCCGGGGCGAGUCAGCCCCUGGGAAGCGGCGUCCGAGGACGACUCUCUGAAGCGGGCUGGAGCUUUCUACCGUAGCACCGAGGCCGCUGUCUGACCCCGUCCCCGGCCGGAGAGGCCGGAGCUGCUCAGGCCCCUGGGCCGGGGCCCUCUCUGGAGCUCGUCCACGAAGGGGGCCCAGAAGUGCUUUCGAAACUUCGGGGCUGGCGUCAGGGCCAGGGUACAGCCCCGGCUCAUUUCACAGAUAGAUUUCUGCUCCACUGGCCUAGUCUUAGCACAGAGCGGACAGAAGCCAGCUCCAGGAGACCAGAGUCUUCCCGCCCUGUUCUCCACCCCACUCUUCCAGAACCGUCCACAGAGGCCUUGUCCUCCAGGGCUGCUGACCACAGUGUCCCAGCCUCUCGAGGGGAGAUGAGGGGAGGAAACCAUCCCAGGGUUUUUAUUGCCAAAUAUUUCUUUCCCGAGGAGGACAACGCAGUCGACUCGCCAAGUGGAGAUUGGAGUGGGUCCAGCGGUAAACCAACUUAAUGAACACUAAUAGAGAGCUGCAGUUAUUGUUGACUUCAGAAUGCAAACAAGAACUUUAGACACUGAUUCCCGUCAGCCGGUCAGGCCGGGACAGAUGCUGCGCACUCUUUUCACCGUUGCUUAGCAAUGGGAAAGGAACUGGUCUGUCUCUUAUCACUGGAGGUGGAGGUAGGACAAAGCACUUUAUUGGACUGAAUAAAGUUUUGAACUUUUGCCAGGAGUGUCCUUCCAAAACUGUCAUUAGAGAAAAUAGCUUCACACAGAGACUCACAGACCAGAGUAGGAAUGAAGGUUCCAACAUGGCAGCAUGGCUCAGCACUGCCUCAGACCUUGUUCCUGCCUCACACGUGUUCACAACACAGGAGAAUUCUGGAGCAUCUGUUUCCUCAGAAGAAUGAUUGCACUGGGCAGUAGAGGAUCAUGCAGCUGGGCAGAAGGCUUCCCUUCCCCAGUGGGAAGAGGAUCUUUCUGCAGUCCUUUCGGAAGGCUUCUUCCAAGACUGAAGUGGUUUGCCAGAGUACAUCAUGUGAAAUGCUGGGCUGAAUGAAUCAUAAGCUGGAAUCAAGAUUGCCGGGAGAAAUAUCAACAACCUCAGAUAUGCAGAUGCAUGCAUGCAUGCUAAGUCGCUUCAGUUGUGCCCAACUCUUUGUAACCCUAUGGACCAUAGCCCGCCAGGCUCUUCUGUCCAUGGGAUUUUCCAGGCAACAAUACUGGAGUGGGUUGCCAUUUCCUUCUCCAGGGGAUCUUCCUGACCCAGGAAUCAAACUCUCGUCUCUUAUAUCUCCUGCAUUGGCAGGUGGGUUCUUACCACUAGCACCAUCUGGGAAACCUGAUUAGCAGUUGACACCACCCAAAUGGCAGACAGUGAAGAGGAACUAAAGGACCUCUGGAUGAAGGUGAAAGAGGAGAGUGAAAAAAGCUGGCUUAAAACUCAACAUUCAAAAAACUAAGAUCAUGGCAUCUGGCCCCAUCACUUCAUGGCAAAUAGAAGGGGAGAAAAUGGAAACAGUGGCAGAUUUUAUUUUCUUGGGCUCCAAAAUCACUGCUGACUGUAACUGCAGCCAUGAAAUUGAAAGACGCUUGCUCUUUGGAAGGAAAGCUAUGACAAACCUAGACAGCGUAUUAAAAAACAAAGACAUCAUUUGCCAACAAAGGUCUGUAUAGUCAAAUAUAUGGACCAUAAAAAAGGCUAGGUACCGAAGAACUGAUGCUUUUGAACUGGAGUGUUGGAGAAGACUCUUGAGAGUCCCUUGGACUGCAAAGAGAUCCAGCCAGUCCAUCCUAAAGGAGAUCAGUCCUGGGUGUUCAUUGGAAGCACUAAUGCUGAAGCUGAAGCACCAAUGCUUUGGUCACCUGAGCGAAGAACUGACUCAUUGGGAAAGACCCUGGUGCUGGGAAAGAUUGAAGGCAGGAGGAGAAGGGGACGACAGAGGAUGAGAUGGUUGGAUGGCAUCCCCAACUCAAUGAACUUGAGUUUGUGCAAACUCCAGGAGAUGGUGAAGGACAGGGAAGCCUGGUCUGCUGCAGUCCAUGGGGUCCCAAAAAGCUGGGCAAGACUGAGAGACUAACACACAAUGUGUCAGUGGGUAGAGUUAGGUCAGUUCAUGAACAUGUGGAUGGGAAAAUAAUUGAUAUUUAUUUUCACUAGCUCUAACUAAAAUUUAGAAAUUCAGCAAUUAAUGUAGACAACAGACCACAGUAAUCUUUUGGUACCUGUGAUUUAGUCAUUAAUAAGAAUACAGAUGUUUUUAUAUUAUACUACAGUCUUUGUAAGUAUCUCAAAAUAUUAUUUAUGUUCAUCAGUACUUGGAAAUUUAUAGUAGCUAUUAGAUUUUCUGCUAAAUCUUGUUAUUUUAAAAAGAAGCACAUUUACUAUAUAUCAUAGUAUGUCAUAAAUUUUAAUUAAUAGCUGAAUUUUAGCAUAAUUGAUUUCCUUUGUAAUCCUAUAAUUUUUACCUUAGCCAUUUAAAAACGCACCAGAGGAUCCAUAGCAUAAAAAAGGUUAGAAACUCAUUCUCUAGAAGUGUAUCUGUAUGACUUCAGUGUGAAAAAGGAUUUCUUAAACAAGACAAAAAUACCAGCAUAAAGGAAAGAACGAUAAAUUUGACUAGAUUAGAAAUUGUAAACUUUCCCCAUCAAAUAUACCAAAGAUGGUCCCUGAAUUACUGACUUACAAUUUUUUUUACCUUAUGACAAUAUCACUAUCUUUAUUUUCCAGGAGACUCAGAGAAAGCCACAACACUGCUUAUUCAGAGCCUGGAUUUGAAACACAUUUUUUAACAUCACAUCUGCCCAUUUAAUGAUAGCCAUCAUAUUUAUAACACUCACUAAGAUUCAUGGAGUGCUGACCAAAGACACUUAUUCCUUGGAAGAAAAGUUAUGACCAACCUAGACAGCAUAUAAAAGGCAGAGACAUUACUUUCCCAACAAAGGUCCGUCUAGUCAAGGCUAUGGUUUUUCCAGUGGUCAUGUAUGGAUGUGAGUUGGACUAUAAAGAAAGCUGAGUGCCAAAGAAUUGAUGCUUUUGAACUGUGGUAUUGAAGAAGACUCUUGAGAGUCCCUUGGACUGCAGUGAGAUCCAAGCAGUCCAUCCUAAAGGAGAUCAGUCCUGGGUGUUCAUUGGAAGGACUGAUGCUGAAGCUGAAACUCCAAUACUUGGGCCACAUGGUAUGAAGAACUGACUCGCUAGGAAAGACCCUGAUGCUGGGAAAGAUUGAAGGUGGGAGGAGAUGGU
Molecule: long non-coding RNA, 3360 nt
Organism: Dama dama (fallow deer)
Lineage: Eukaryota; Metazoa; Chordata; Mammalia; Artiodactyla; Cervidae
Exons: 3
Source: RefSeq, a predicted model, not a curated record